GUAAUGGCAGGUCAGCAUACUGCCGUGAAUACGUUCCCGGGGCCUUGUACACACCGCCCGUCACACCAUGAGAGUUGGGAAUACCCGAAGCCUGUGAGCUAACAUUUAUGAGGCAGCAGUCGAAGGUAGAAUCAAUGAUUGGGGUGAAGUCGUAACAAGGUAUC
This 164-nucleotide ribosomal RNA is filed under the name uncultured bacterium. RNAcentral describes it as "partial 16S ribosomal RNA". It matches the Rfam family "Bacterial small subunit ribosomal RNA", at positions 1338 to 1500 of the family's 1533-position model. The record is from RNAcentral.